UUGCAGCGGGUAAGUCCUAUACGACCAGCUCCCUUUGAAUCCCCCAGGGCUUGAUCGCAGCAAGGGUAUUUGGUUGUAGCGGUGCGAUGUAGUUAGCUUACCCACCU
Molecule: signal recognition particle RNA, 107 nt
Filed under: Paludibacter jiangxiensis
Lineage: Bacteria; Pseudomonadati; Bacteroidota; Bacteroidia; Bacteroidales; Paludibacteraceae
Description: Porphyromonadaceae bacterium NM7 Bacteroidales small SRP
Rfam family: Bacteroidales small SRP
About the family: The non-coding component of the signal recognition particle in Bacteroides
Source: Rfam by way of RNAcentral